UACGAAGGGGGCUAGCGUUGCUCGGAAUUACUGGGCGUAAAGGGCGCGUAGGCGGCUCUGUUAGUCAGGCGUGAAAUCCCCGGGCUCAACCCGGGAACUGCGUCCGAGACUGGCAGGCUCGAAUCCGGGAGAGGGAUGUGGAAUUCCAGGUGUAGCGGUGAAAUGCGUAGAUAUCUGGAGGAACACCGGUGGCGAAGGCGGCAUCCUGGACCGGUAUUGACGCUGAGGCGCGAAAGCCAGGGGAGCAAACGGG
RNAcentral lists this ribosomal RNA (253 nucleotides) under uncultured bacterium. RNAcentral describes it as "partial 16S ribosomal RNA". It matches the Rfam family "Bacterial small subunit ribosomal RNA", at positions 524 to 776 of the family's 1533-position model. The record is from RNAcentral.